This 92-nucleotide ribosomal RNA is filed under the name Reinekea forsetii. The record is from RNAcentral. Lineage: Bacteria; Pseudomonadati; Pseudomonadota; Gammaproteobacteria; Oceanospirillales; Saccharospirillaceae.
CUUGACGAACAUAGAGCGUUGGAACCACCUGAUCCCAUACCGAACUCAGAAGUGAAACGACGUAUCGCCGAUGGUAGUGUGGGGUCUCCCCA